GCCCCGGUACUCCAAUGGCAGAGAGAGUGGUCUCAAACACCAUCCAGUGUGAGUUCGAAUCUCACCCGGGGCA
RNAcentral lists this transfer RNA (73 nucleotides) under Nocardioides sp. Soil777. RNAcentral's name for it is "tRNA-Leu". It matches the Rfam family "tRNA". Rfam says of the family: Transfer RNA (tRNA) molecules are approximately 80 nucleotides in length. Their secondary structure includes four short double-helical elements and three loops (D, anti-codon, and T loops). Lineage: Bacteria; Bacillati; Actinomycetota; Actinomycetes; Propionibacteriales; Nocardioidaceae. The record is from RNAcentral.